CUCUCCUGACCGACAGGUGGCGGAUUCAAAACCGGUCGGAAGUACAACCGAAGAAGACACUGAACCGAGCUAAAUCGUUAGCCGUAUUAGCUAGUUCGCAUUAAUCAAGUAUAACCGCACGGUAUUGGAUAUGAAAUUGUAUUGUUUGUCUGGUCACCCAACGUUGCCUUGCAAUGUUCUCAAGUUUAAAUGCACCACCAUCAUGUUGGACUGUGGGCUGGACACCACCUCAGCUUUGUAUUUCCUCCCUUUGCCUCUGGUGCACAGUCCAAGACUGUCCAAACUACCAGGAUGGGUUUCCAAAGAUGGAACAGUGAACCUUGAGAAAGAGCUAAAGGAGUGUGCCGGUCGUGUAUUUGUGGACUCUGAGCCAGAGUUUUGUCUUCCUGAGAGAGACCUGCUCGAUAUGUCGACUAUCGACGUCAUCCUGAUAUCUAACUACCACUGCAUGAUGGCUCUUCCCUACAUCACUGAGCACACCGGCUUCUCAGGCACCGUCUACACCACCGAGCCCACGUUUCAGAUCGGCAGACUGCUGAUGGAGGAGCUGGUUAAUUUUAUGGAGAGAGUCCCAAAGGCUCAGACUGCCACCUGCUGGAAGAACAAAGAAAUACUAAGGAUGCUGCCCGGUCCUUUAAAAGAUGCAGUUGAAGUGUGGUCAUGGAAGAAGUGCUACAGCAUGCAGGAAGUGAACUCCGCUCUCAGCAAAGUGCAGCUCGUGGGCUACUCGCAGAAAGUGGAGUUGUUUGGUGCGGUGCAGGUCACCCCUCUGAGCUCCGGCUAUUCCCUGGGCAGUUCAAACUGGAUAAUUCAGUCUCACUAUGAGAAAGUGUCCUAUGUCUCCGGUUCGUCUUUGCUCACCACACACCCUCAGCCUAUGGACCAAAGCUCUCUGAAGAACAGUGACGUUUUGAUCCUAACUGGUCUGACGCAGAUCCCCACGGCCAACCCGGACGGAAUGCUAGGGGAAUUCUGCAGCAACCUGGCCCUGACAGUCCGUGCUGGAGGGAACGUUUUGGUGCCAUGUUACUCCUCUGGUGUGAUUUACGACCUGCUGGAGUGCCUCUACCAGUUCAUGGAUUCUGCUAACCUGGGAAGCACACCCUUUUACUUUAUCUCACCUGUGGCCAACAGCUCGCUGGAGUUCUCCCAGAUUUUUUCAGAGUGGCUGUGCCAGACUAAGCAGUCCAAGGCUUACCUCCCUGAACCUCCUUUCCCACACGCUGAGCUGAUCCAGACCAACAAGCUCAAGCAUUACCCCAGUAUCCAUGGCGAGUUCAGCAGCGAAUUCAGACAGCCGUGUGUGGUGUUUACGGGGCAUCCAUCACUUCGGUUCGGGGAUGUCGUGCACUUCAUGGAGCUGUGGGGCAAAUCAAGCCUCAACACCAUUAUCUUCACUGAACCUGAUUUCUCCUACCUGGACGCUUUGGCUCCCUACCAGCCGCUGGCCAUGAAGUGUGUGUACUGCCCAAUUGACACACGCCUCAACUUCCACCAGGUUUCCAAACUUCUGAAGGAGGUUCAGCCACUUCAUGUGGUGUGUCCAGAGCAAUAUACUCAGCCUCCUCCCUCUCAGUCUCACCGGUCUGAUCUAAUGUUGGAGCUGCAGCCUCCUCCUCUACCAUACAGCCGGUGCUCCGUUCUCAAUCUGCCCUUCCACCGCACGUAUGAACGUGUCCAGCUUUUACCCGAGCUUGCCAAAACUCUCGUACCCACUGAGAUUAAACCUGGCAUCUCUGUGGCAAACGUGUCAGCAAUUCUGCAAUCCAAAGACAACAAGCAUGUCCUCCAGUUGGUGCCCAAGCCAGCUCCUGUGGCUCCCAGUAAGAAGCGGAAGAGACUGAUAGAGGAGGUUCCUGAGCUGUCGACCCCGAAGCCGCUGCUAAAUGGAGCUGUGCCUUUGGAGGCCUUCCUUGCCUCACUGCACAAGCUUCUAAGAUGCAGAGACUGUAGCAGAGAUGGAGGUAGCAGAUGAGGAUGUUCUCUUUAGGAAUGGACAUGGACAUGUACAGAGGAGGGAGAUGGUUAUAUUGGUAGAAGGAUGUUGAAGAUGAAGCUGGCAGAACGGAAUCUCGGAGGUGAAGGUGGAGGAGACAGCGGACGGUCACAUCCUGCAUCUGCAGGCCGAGGACGCGCUCAUCCAGCUGGAAGAGGACGCAACGCACAUCGUGUGUGACAACAACGAGCCACUGCGGACCGCCCUCAGGGACCUGGUGCUCCGAUUCCUCCAGAAGCUCUGACCUGUGACCGUUGGAGUCUGGACUGUCUGACCUUAGUGUGGCUGUGCACAGCAUGGUGAUGAUCCAGUGAGUCAGUAGCAGUGAGCACUGGGAUAUUUGUGGUUAUUUAAAAACAGAAGCUCAUUGUAAACAUUACAGAGAUGUGUCUCAGGGCAGAUAGACCUCACUGGUGAACACUGGACUUCACUGAUUUCUUGAAAUAGGAGAUGUUCCUGGAGCAGCAUUUCUUAUAGCACUAAUGACAUCAAUUUGUGUCCUAAACCUCCUGCUCCCGAACCACUUAAAAAUAAAAACACACACACAGUUCAUUACAAAGAUUCAGAAAUGAACUGUGUGUGUGUGUAUAUAUAUAUAUGCUCUUAGUAGUUUGUAUUUUAUUGCAUUGCUUAGCUUUAUAAAUUAAUAUAAAGCUUAGCAUUAAAAUACAAAUUACUAAAAGCAUUUAUUUAUAUAUAUACAUAUAUAUAUAUAUGUAUAUAUAUGUAUAUAUAUAUAAUUAAAAGAUUCAGAAAUGAACUGUGUGUGUGUGUAUAUACAUAUAUGCUCUUAGUAGUUUGUAUUUUAUUGCAUUGCUUAGCUUUAUAAAUUAAUAUAAAGCUUAGCAAUAAAAUACAAAUUACUAAAAGCAUAUACAUAUACAUACAUAUAUAUAUAUAUUUUUUUUUUAUGGGAAAUGGUACAUUUUGUUGGGAAAUGUUUCUUUAUCUGUAUUCUAUAUAAUAUAACCAGAGUCAACAGUAAAUUUGAUCAGUUUCCCUACAUUAAAUUCAUAUAACGUUUAAACACUUAAAAUUGAAGAUCAACAGGAAUUGAAGUCUUUCAGUACACCGUUAUGUAAAGCACAUAUCAUAGACCUUCUGUAAUCAAAGGCAUGUAUACAUUAAUCUCUAAAUUUGUAGAAGUUAUCCUUUCAGACAUGGAAUUUCUUUUCCAAAGGAAGGAAUCUGUGGUCAUGUGUGUUACCAGUGUAGUCCUGAUGGCACACCACAAACCCUAAAGCACAAAUACACAGGAUGACUUUGCAUUGCUGCGGUGGAGAAAAGAUGGAUAACAUUUCAUAAGAACUGCUUAGUUAAGGCUUUCUCUCAUGUCCUUCUCAUCCUUAGACCUUUAGUGUUAGCAAAAUGAACGGUUUUACUUUAAAUGUAAAACCAUAUUUUAAAUGUAUGUUUAUGGAGCUUACCAACCGCCUUUAGACUUAAAACAUGUUCAAAAUGACGUACAGAGUGGUACUUUCAUGUCUGGAAGUGGACUAGCAUCAGGGGGGAAUGUUUAAGUGGCUCAAGUUCAGGAGGAAUCAGAUCAGAUCAGAUCAGGUGAUACUGUUGUUUAAAAUAAAGUGGCCCUGCUUAGAAAAAAUGAGGUUCAUCAGAAUCAGGAAGCAGAAUAAAUAAAUAAAUAAUAAUAAUAGACUUUUCUGUUUCACUCUUUUUUAUAUUAAAGUUUGUCUUUUAUAAUUUUGUAAUAAAUCAUAUUUCUUAAAUUUCC
This is an RNA transcript of Tachysurus fulvidraco (yellow catfish), 3728 nucleotides long. It is a transcript of the gene named integrator complex subunit 9, with no coding region annotated. The transcript is spliced from 18 exons. The record is from RefSeq and is a predicted model, not a curated record. Lineage: Eukaryota; Metazoa; Chordata; Actinopteri; Siluriformes; Bagridae.